GGUCAACUGGCUCGCUGAUUCUAGCUAGCUUCAGACACAGUAGUUAUAAUGGCCCAACCUACUAGUAAUAUCAAAUCGUUAGAACCAAACUAUCGACCCAAAAUGUUUCAGCCCCAAAAUCACCAAGUGUUAUAAAGCCCCCUUAGACUUCCAGCUGAUGAACCGGCUUUCACACCAAAUGUAACAAUCCAGCCUACUAGCAAUAAUAAUUCAUUAAACCCAAACUAUCGGUCCAAAAUACUUAAGCUAAGUUAUUAUUACUUGGAUACGAUGUCUUUUAUAUUCUCAAUAAUAAAUUAUUUCCCUCUGAUGUGGGACUAUUGGAGUUGGUGUUAAAGUAGUUGAAAUUGAAGGCACCCAAAGUUGGCUCAACCUAAUUUCUAAAUUCAAAACAAAAAAAUUAUAUAGAGAAUUUUCAAUUCAAAAGUAAAAAAUUUUAAAUAAAAUUAUCGAAAGAUCAUGUUUUUACAGCACAGUAUGGCCCAAUCUAGGAGAAAAUCUACUGUGUCAUACUUGCACCACAUUAUCAAUAACAAAUCAAUCAUAUCUCUUUUUUUCAAAAAAAAAGUACAAUAAAAAUACUUUUUAAUCAUGAUGUAACGGAUAACUUAAAAAAAAAAGUUAUUUGAUUGGUUGGGGACGUCAUGUCACCACUAUAACCGGUCCAUUUUAGAAUUUUUCCAAACCAGGACCCUACUAUAUAGUACCAUCCAUUUAUUUUACCCAUUUUUUUUCAUUUUUUAUGUGAAUUUCAUAAUUUUGAAAUUGAAUAUUUAUAGGUUUGAGGGUACUUGGGUGGUUUCCAUUAUUUGGAAAAGGAUUUUGAUAGUUUUAGAGGUACCUGUCAACUAAGAAUUUUUUUUUUUUUUUUUUUGAGAGAUAGGUAGCACGCUACCCGCUUCGUUUAUUUCGUCAACUAAGAAUAUUAAAAGUAAGGGUGAUUGGUUUAAUUGGAGAAAAUUGUUGUACCAUUUUGGUUGCCACAAGCAACUAAUUAGUCACAUAUAUUUCUUCAUCAAACAUACUAUGAAGUGGGCAUUUGGCUUUUUAGGUGAAUUUGACAUUUAUUUUGAGUGCCAAUAUUUAUUUUUGGCUAAAUUACAAAAAGAAAUACUGUAAAUAUCCGCUUUUUCACUUUGCUUCCCCAGCUUUCAAAAACUUAUAUUUUACUCUCUCAAUAUUUCAUGUUAUUGCAUUUAGCCCCCUAUUCUAUCAGGAUUCCAUCACUAUUCUGUCUAGUCCAUUUCUUAUAAUUUAUACUGAAAAUAUCCAAAAUGACAAAAAUAUAUUAAAAAAAAAUUUUUCGUAUUUAAGGAAUAAGAGUAAUUUGAUCAUUUUGCCCUCUCCAUUAACACCUCUAUUGAAAUAUUUCUGAAAUUUUAAGAGGACAAAAUAUAGAUUUCUAGAAGUUAGGAAAAUAAAGUAAAAAAAAAGAAGAAGAAGUAAUUAUAAGGAAUUUCCUGUAAUUUAGACUUUUUAUUUUUUAUUUAUUUUUUCUUUUAUAGUAAGAUCUAUAGGCAAUUUUCUCUACUAAGAAUAUGAAACGACUGCUAUUCUCUAACAAAGAACAAUAUUUUUAAAAUUUAUAAGUUAAACUAACAAAGAACAAUAUUUUAAAAAUUUAUAUUCAACAAAACUAAUAAUGUUAUAAAGCUGAUGAGACUCAAACUAUAAAUUUCUUGUCCUGAUAUUAUAGUAAAGAAUGUGAAUGUUCUCCAAUAACUUAAACUAUUAAAAACAGUAUUUUUUUUUUAUAAAGUUAAUUGCAUACAACUUCGUACAAACAUAUCGAAUCAAAUAAAAUAAAUAUUCCUACAAAGUUCAACUUGUCAUAUUUAUCCCUAUAAAAGUCCUAACAUUUUUAAAUAUACUCCUACGUUAGAUAUCGAUAGAAAAAUAUAGUUAACCAUAGGUAAAAUGCCUAAUCCCGGUUAGUGAAUGAGCUAAUUUGACAUUUUAUUCUUUUAUAUUAUUUGUGAUGGUAGAAAGGAAGAAGAAGACCAUUGAAAAUUUUUGAAAGAACAUUUCUACAUAUUUCUAAUAAUUGGGGCUUUUGUAGUGAUAUAUUUAUGAUUACAAAAAUAUCAUUUCCUUUAUCUUCUGUUAAAAAAUAAACAGUGCUCUAAUAAUAACAAACCAGAUAAGUAAAUAUGAAGAUCACUGAAUUUCUGCAAGAAUAAAUAUAAAAAGUUAAAUUUUGUAAAAAUAUAUUUACUAUUCGAUAUGUUUAUAUAGAGCUGUAUAAAAUUAACCCUUUUUUUAUAUUUAUUGCAGUUCAUAUUGAAUAUAUUACAUAUUGCACUUAAUGCUACAAA
RNAcentral lists this long non-coding RNA (2315 nucleotides) under Ananas comosus (pineapple). Its description in RNAcentral is "long non-coding RNA (ACOM_LNC020125)". The record is from RNAcentral. Lineage: Eukaryota; Viridiplantae; Streptophyta; Magnoliopsida; Poales; Bromeliaceae.